Long non-coding RNA from Daphnia pulex (common water flea), 1576 nucleotides. RefSeq lists it as uncharacterized. The transcript is spliced from 5 exons. Lineage: Eukaryota; Metazoa; Arthropoda; Branchiopoda; Diplostraca; Daphniidae. The record is from RefSeq and is a predicted model, not a curated record.
CCCUUCCCCAGCAACGUCAACCUAAAGAAGGAAAGGCAAGUUUCCAUUUUCUUCAAUUUCGAAGGUCACGGAGAUACCAUUACGUUAAACUUGUCAUGUGGAGUUAGAGGUUGGGUGAGAACGGGAAGUGUUGCACCAUUAUCAAGCAGGUACAAUAGCCGCAAGGCUUAAGAGGUUAGGGGUAGAAAAAAAAUCGUAUAAAAGGAGAGAGAAAAGGCGUUUGAAAUCAGUUGAGUGAGAAUCUCCGACCCGGCAACUGCUGUGUCCUAUUCGUCACUAAAUGCAUUUUUCAUUUUAAAAUCAUUACGCAAUAAGAAAAAAAAAAGGCCAAAGAAAUCAGUCGAGUGAUCAUCUCCGACACUGCAAUAGCAACUGCAGUGCACUAUUGAUCAUCAAUUGAUUCUUCACUGUGUAAUCAGUUCGUAAUCAUGGUUAAUUAUGGCGUUGUGCUGCUGUUGGGUCGACCACGAGUGUACCGAUGUCUCCUGGAUACGGUGGCCCCGAGUUACUUCACCAAAGCGCCUGAGUACUACACUGAGGCUCCCAAGUACUACACCAUCAAAGCCCCAGAGUAUUACACUGCAAUCUACGCUGCCCCAGCUUACACCACCAAGGGACCGGAGUACUGCACCACAACCUACGCUGCCCCAGUUCACUACGCCGCCCUGAGCUACACAACCACAUCUGAGGCAGCCGUCAUUACUGCACAGCGGCUGCUUCUUAGUAACAACCUACGUUACACCUAGAUGCUACACCGAAGCCCCCAAGUACUGCACCGGCAAGGCCGAAUAUUACAUAACCACGUUUGCUGCCCCAGCUACCCUGCUACACCGAGAAACCCAAGUAUUUCUCUGCUCCAAGCAACUAUCGAACAGAGGCUCCUGUUGACUACACCACCCAUGCCCCGGGGUUUACAGUACAACCUACGCUGCCCCAUCUACACCAUCAAGGCUCCAAAGUACUACGCAACCGAGGCACCCGAGCUACUACUUAGGCUGCUCCGACUUUCUGCACCGAAGCUGCGAAAUAUUCCACUGCCCCGAGUUACUACACCAUCAAGGCUGUUACAAUGUUACAUCACAACCUACGCUUCUCCAGUUUACUAUAUAAUGGUGAAGCCAGAAAUGGAAACAGUUAAUUUAUAGUCUAGUGCUGUUGUUUGGUGUAUCGUUGACGGUCGAGUCGUCCACUGGUGUACCGGUGCUCCUGGGUGUGGCAGAUACCAAACCGCAAUGCUACCGUCUUACUACACAACAAACAUACGCAACCAGUUACUACACCUAAAAGGCCGUAUGUUACACAAGGACGUAUGCUACACCAGUUUACUACACCGAGGAAUUCAAGUAUUACUCUUCCCCGAACAAAUACCAAACAGAGGCUCCUGUUUACUACACUACCAUCGCCCUCGAGUGUUACACUAAAACCUACGUUGCCCCCAACUACUACACUGUGGCUCCGAAGUGCUACACAUCAAUGCACAACCAAUUCGCAAUUGUUUAUUUUUACGUCGUGCUGCUGUUGGUUGUUCUAUCGUUGCUAACGUGUUGACCACUGUACCGAACUCCACCGACUUUGG